GAUCCUUCGCCCCUCAAGCCUGCUACGCCCCACCCACACAACCCUAAAAUCCCUCCGAGGUUGCAUAGAAAUCAUGUGUGUGCGUUAGUGUGUGUGUAUCCGACUGUGUAUAUAUACUUAUGCGGAGAGAGAACCAAGAAGCACUCAGUCGGCACAAGGCACAAUGAUGUUACUGGCAGGAGUCCUCACGUGCAUGUUGCUUGCCAGCAACAGCUGCGCCGAGGAGCAGCAGCAGACGCAGGAAGGCCCAUUAAAUCUCGAGAAAACUGAACUAAAAGAAAAACUGCUCUUCUACAAGACCUCAACCACCGUUACUUACAACGCCAUCUCAUACAUAACCAGCGUCAUUCCCUUGACCUGUUACUUAAGUUA
Penaeus monodon (black tiger shrimp) is the source of this 372-nucleotide long non-coding RNA. RefSeq lists it as uncharacterized. The record is from RefSeq and is a predicted model, not a curated record. NCBI's taxonomy places the organism in Eukaryota, Metazoa, Arthropoda, Malacostraca, Decapoda, Penaeidae. The transcript is spliced from 3 exons.